Non-coding RNA from Cinara cedri, 702 nucleotides. The record is from the annotation of a GenBank genome assembly. Lineage: Eukaryota; Metazoa; Arthropoda; Insecta; Hemiptera; Aphididae.
UAUAUAAAAAUCAUAACGGAUAUAAUAUUAUAUUUACCAGUUUACCACAGUACUAUAAUAUAUUGUUGACUGUUUUCGAAUCCUAUCAAACAACUUUUACCGCGUUCUUCUAUAUAAUAAUAUUAUGCUCCACAAGAAGCAAUAGUUAAUAAUACAAACACAUUGCGUCAGCUACUUUAAUGUGUAUAAUAAUGCUCCUAGGCUAUACCUACAUAGUUUUUUUAUAACGACCGAACGACUGCAGUAUUGUAAAAUUAUUAUAACCAUCAUGCACUAGGUUUUAGAAAAAUAUUAUUACACCAGUAGCCUAUCUAACUAUAUAGCGCAUUGUUUCAUUAAAUAUUUUUCGUACAAAUUAUAAUUUUUAAAAAUCAUGGGUUAUAAAAAGUGCCAACCUUAUAGCCGUUACAGGAACUUUAAACCGUUUAAGGUGUAGAUACAAAGAUACUUUAUUAAUACCUACUGAAAUUUCUGGGUACCGACCGUGUUGUUCGUCCUUACCUCACGAUAGUGGGGUAAUUAAGGAAGGGCACAGUUGGCCCACUCCCGAAAUAGGCGCGAUGCAUUUUUCGUCCGGGCGAUUUCCGCUCAACACUGUUCGUGCUAUUUCCGCCCGUUAUCGUAAUAUUUACUUGCUGAAAUUGUGCAAGGUGGACUAUUCGCUCAAAAUUUAAAAUUAUAUAAGUUGUAUGAAAUUGUCAA